GCUGGAGGUAUCAGAAGUGCGAAUGCUGACAUAAGUAACGAUAAAGCGGGUGAAAAGCCCGCUCGCCGGAAGACCAAGGGUUCCUGUCCAACGUUAAUCGGGGCAGGGUGAGUCGACCCCUAAGGCGAGGCCGAAAGGCGUAGUCGAUGGGAAACAGGUUAAUAUUCCUGUACUUGGUGUUACUGCGAAGGGGGGACGGAGAAGGCUAUGUUAGCCGGGCGACGGUUGUC
This 230-nucleotide ribosomal RNA is filed under the name Klebsiella pneumoniae. RNAcentral describes it as "partial 23S ribosomal RNA". It matches the Rfam family "Bacterial large subunit ribosomal RNA", at positions 1272 to 1506 of the family's 2925-position model. The record is from RNAcentral. Lineage: Bacteria; Pseudomonadati; Pseudomonadota; Gammaproteobacteria; Enterobacterales; Enterobacteriaceae.